RNAcentral lists this ribosomal RNA (477 nucleotides) under uncultured bacterium. RNAcentral's name for it is "bacterial SSU rRNA". It matches the Rfam family "Bacterial small subunit ribosomal RNA", at positions 19 to 518 of the family's 1533-position model. The record is from RNAcentral.
CUGGCUCAGGACGAACGCUGGCGGCGUGCUUAACACAUGCAAGUUGAACGGUAUGACAUGGAAGCUUGCUGAAGUGUCAUAUAGUAGCGGACGGGUGAGUAAUGCAUGAGAAGCUGCCAUUGGGAGGGGGACAACAGUUGGAAACGGCUGCUAAUACCCCGUAUGCCGGAGGGUGAAAGGGAGUAAUCCGCCCGAUGAGGUGCUCAUGUCCUAUCAGCUGGUUGGUGGGGUAACGGCCUACCAAGGCGACGACGGGUAGCCGGCCUGAGAGGGUGAACGGCCACACUGGAACUGAGAUACGGUCCAGACUCCUACGGGAGGCAGCAGUGGGGAAUAUUGGGCAAAUGGGGGCAACCCUGACCCAGCGACGCCGCGUGGGGGAAGACGGCCUUCGGGUUGUAAACCUCUUUUGUACGGGAAGAAGGAAGUGACGGUACUGUACGAAUAAGUCCCGGCUAACUACGUGCCAGCCGCUGC